This is a long non-coding RNA of Cotesia glomerata, 1336 nucleotides long. RefSeq lists it as uncharacterized. Lineage: Eukaryota; Metazoa; Arthropoda; Insecta; Hymenoptera; Braconidae. The record is from RefSeq and is a predicted model, not a curated record. The transcript has 3 exons.
GUGGAGGUUAUUGGUAUCACGAGUGCGUAAUACUUGUAUGGUUAUAAAUGAAUAGUAAAUGAAAAACGGGAAAAGUAAAUCGGAGAUUCGUGUGCGAUGUGAAAGUUGAUAUGACUCUGGGGGGUCUUCUUCUAAGGGUGUCUGUGAGUUUGCAUUUAUGUACGUAUUAAAGCGGAAGGAACCAUUGUAUAAUCCAAGAUGGCCUCCGAGUCAGAGAGGAUUAUUAUUGGCUAAUACGAGGCGAGAGGCUCCGCCUUGGCUCAUGGUUCGUGACGGGAUGAUUUAUUGGAUUUUCUGUCUGUUCGCCCCUGCAAUACAUACCAUACCGUGCCUACUUCUCUCUCUAGGUAGGCAUGUAUAUCCGGGACUCUACUUGCUUUUUCAACUUCUGAUUGACCUGAACAGCUGUUGCGUCUUUUCUUGCCAUUUCAACUCUACAGGGUACAUCAUCACGCUGCACUUUCAAAUUGUUGACGUCCACUACUGGAUUCUCUUGUCCUUUCUUUCUCGUUUCUUUCUUGCACUUAUAUAGCCUUUUUAUUUAUCCGUUACUUAUAUAUAGCCUCAUGGUAAUGAUAUUAUAUGAUGAUAUGUCUGCUACACUUGGAUCGAAAAAUUAUUCUUAACCAACUCGCUCAAGAAAUCUUUUUCUAAAACUUCUACUCUGGAUCAUAUUUAUUCAUCAUAAAAUCAAGAGAUAACUUUCCGCUGAAUGAGAAAGAGUUUAAUAGAUACUGUCCAUUCUCUACGCUCACUGAAAAGGUGGAUUUGAAAUUUUUCGAAGCAGAUGGGUCACUUGGACGUAACAGUGAAACAAAUUGGGUAAAGUGCCCGAAGGUCGAAAUGAGAUUGCACACAACAUGCGAAGCGGAAUAGAAGGAAAUAGUGCGGUGACGAGGAAGUACAAGAAGGAAAAAGUAUACGCCAGAGAAUUUAUGGCCGCUUUAUCACUUUGCUGGCCUUGCCACACGCGUUUACCGUACGAGAGAAGAGCGCUGGGAUCUUCACCGAUGAACUUUGGCACUCGACUUUACAGACACUUGUCUCAGCAAAGAGAUUAACCAUAAGGUUGAGUUACGCAAAGUUGAAAAGUAAAAUUCCAUUGACUAUUCCAUUAACGUCGCCUCUAAUACUCUCAGGGUUAUGUAUUACCUAGAAACGAUGGACGAGGGCUAAAUGCAAAAGCUUGUAAGGGUAACACGUUCGCGACCUCUGAGAGGGUAGCAAAACAUUCGUACAAUUAGCUCGAUGUCCUGAUGACACUUGGUGAACUGGACUACCCUUUCUUUAGUAGGGUGGGUGUCGCGACGACCAUUCUCGCACUAUACACACAUAU